This 12239-nucleotide long non-coding RNA is filed under the name Sarcophilus harrisii (Tasmanian devil). RNAcentral describes it as "lncRNA (ENSSHAG00000025046.1)". Lineage: Eukaryota; Metazoa; Chordata; Mammalia; Dasyuromorphia; Dasyuridae. The record is from RNAcentral.
AUUUAGAACUGAAAGGGAUCUUGUGGGGCAACUAAUAAUCUAACUCUAUUGCUUCAUUUUACAGAGGAAGGUAUGGUCACACGGGUAAUAAGUGACAGAGUUGAAAUUCAUUGACAAUUAUUCUGUUGCUUAAAGAUCACAAAGAACUUUGCAUACAGUAUCUGAUUUUGAAAUACCUUUAUGAAUUACUUUGUACAAUUACAGGCGAUAGAAAAUGCUAGACAAUUAAGGGACUUGUCCAAGAUCAUGUGGCUAAUGCAUAUCAAAGGGAGCAUUGGCAAACAGGUUUCUGCUUUACUUCAAGUCUAUCACAACAGGCUAAUUCUUUCUACCACACCAUCCUAACACUGCAAUUUAUACAGUGUCCCCAAAGUCUCAGUGCAGCUUUUUAAAAAACUUGUAUUUUUAUUUAUUUUGUUAAAUAUUUAGCCAUUAAAUUUUUAUCUGGUUUGGCCUUCUUGGAAGUCAAAUUUGAUACUUUUAAUCUAAAACAUCAAAAAUGAGCAGUACCAACUAUCUUACAAAAAAUUAAAAGACAUUCAUUGAAUAAAAAGAGGAAAAAAUAAAGAUUAGAAAAAUGGGCCAUGCUUGAAAAUUAAUGAAGUAAACACAAAUUGACUUUUUCCCCCUAAGGCAAUUGGGGUUAAGUGACUUGUCCAGGGUCACACAGCUAGGAAGUGCUAAGUGUCUGAGACCAGAUUUGAACUCAGGUCCUCCUGACUUCAGGUCUGGUGCUCUAGCCACUGCACCAAGUAGCUGCCCCCCAUAAGUUAACUUUUUAAUAGUAUUUUUCCUUGUUAGUGUACACUCUAAAUAAUUAAAUUGUUUUUGUGUCUAGGGUAGUAAAGACAAAUUAGAUGAUAAAUAUGGAUCAGUAUCUGCAAGAUAGUGUUGAACUGAUAUAGGGGCUAUAUAUAUAUAUAUAUAUAUAUAUUUGAGUGACAGACAAAUAAGAACAAAAAUCAGACUCCUAGCAAAGUGUGUAUAUAUGUGUGUGUAUGUGUGUGUGUGAGGGGACAAGUUAGGUAUUGACAUUAGGUGUCAAUAUAGGAUACUCAAUGAACUUUUCAUUCUAAACCUAAUUUAGAGUAAGACCAAGUGCAUGAAAUGCUGAAUCAAUCUGGUCACCCUCGAGGUGACCCAAACAUACUGUAUGAAUUCUGUGUAUACAGUAAUAAUAGUCAAAGUUCUGGGCUUCGAGGGAUACUCAUAUUAAUAAAGUAGGGUAAUUAGAGCAAUAUAAAAUAUAAAUCAUUAAGGAUCAUAUGCCAAAAAUAGAGAAUACAUUUAUCACAUAAAGGCUGUAUUUUUUAACUGAUUGAAAAUCAGAAGAAUAUUUAAAAUCUGUCUCACAUGGUUAAGGUCAGAUUUGUAAAACAGGUUACGCUGGGAUACAUCCUGAGCUCCUUUACUCUUUGAAAUAUAUGAUUUCAUUCUCUUCUCCUUACUCAGUAGGUACUGAAUAGUCUUGUGGUAUUUGUUUGUUUGUUUUUAAUGUCUUUUCCUUUACAUUUUAAGGUCAUUUUCCUGAUGACUUGCAGAACUUUUUUUUCUGAAUUGAAUAUUAAAUUUAGCUACUAUAUAUUAGAGUUUGCAGAUGUGUGUGUGUGUGUGUGUGUGUGUGUGUGUGUGUGUGAGUGUAUGUGUGUGUUUUCUGGUGGCAAAUUGAGAAAUUUUUCAAUUGAUAUUUCAUUUUGUUUAGAAGUUUAGGGCAGUUCUAUUAUUUCCUUCAUUAUGGUGCUGGGGUUUUUGUUCUAUUGUAUUUUUGGGGGGAGACCUAUAAUUCUUAGGUUGUCUCACCUUGCAAGUGCUAAAUUUCAGGAUGUUCUGCUUGCAUAUUUUCUUUAAAUAUUAUUGGGGAGAUUUUUUGUUUUUGUUUGUUUUGCUUCAUCUAUAUUGUCCUUCAUUUUUGUGUAAUUGUAUUUCCAAUCUAUUGUUUUCUUUUGUUUCUUUGGUGAGGAUUGCAGAAUUUAUGUCCCAGAAAAAUUUGUUUUUCUAAUUUGCUCCUUAUUUUUGCUCUGCAUGACAUAAAUUCUGUCAAGUCUCUUUUAAAUCACUCAGGAAUAGUGUAUUGGGGUUCUGUGUUUUUCUCAAAUUCCAUAUGGUCCUCUGUCAUCAUUAUCAUUGGAUCAUUUUUUCUUAACUUUUACAGGUUUUGUUCAUAGAUGCUUAAACUCAUUUACUAGAUCUAGAGGUCAUAUUUCCUUUGUUGAUACUGUGUUUUCUGCAGAUUUUCCCCUGAUAGUCAAGGUCUUUGAGGUUUCUUCUUCUUGAAACAGUGGUACUUUGAGUCUCAUUUCCCCAUGUCUCCUUUUAUUUCCCCCUGUUACUCACUUUCUGACUCUCUCCCCAUGUGAUUGUAGUUUCCUUGGAGGCUGGAUCUCAAAGCAUCUCAGCCUCCUCCCACACUGGGCAAUUUACAACUCCUCAGCCUUAGUCUCUAACACCAACUGAUGUCUGGGGGGAAAAGAGGGGUCAGAAGUAGCUCCAAUAGGAUUCUAUGCUCUUUCCUUUGGGUCUGGUCCCCACUUCCUUCGUUUAGUUUUUUUUGCAGUGCUGUGUCCCAGUGACCUAUCCCACUCUUUCUAUUCUUUAGUUCUUUGGUGGGACCAGCAGUUCAAUCCUUUGCAGGGCUGGUGCUCCCUGGUAUGCAGGCUCUAGCAGGCUUUUGCUCUCAAAAGGCUAUGGUCAAGACUGCUGAAAAGGCCUGAGCAAUCAUCUGCAGCCUGGAUCUCCAUGGCACUGGAAAGAAGGAGGGGGAACCAGAGUGCAGAUGGGGGUUUGGAUAUAAUUCCAUGUUAUGUCCUUAGAUCUGCUAGUACAACCUUGCUGUGUGCUGAGGAAGCUCAAGACCAGGGAGCAUCAAGUCCUGGAUUUAGGGCUUUUUAAAUCUCCUUUUGGAUUCUGGGUAUAAUAGUUGAUGGAAAGAGCUGGAAUUAUUUCAUCUUUGUUGUAAAAUUUCUAUUUUGGAGAGUUCUGAGAGGUUGUGGAGAUUAGAGAAGAUGUCUAUUGUCCAAUCUCGUAUGAAAUAGUCUUAGAUGUAUUCUAUGUUAGAAUAUGUCAUCCUUGGUGACUUGAGUUAGCUCUGGGGAAAAUGAUAUAUAAAAAAAACUUAAACGAAGGAAGAAAAGCAACAUAAAACAAAGAGAAAUUAAGGGCUUGGAUAAUUGUACGUGUGAAGUUUUAAAAUCUUUUGAACUUUUAAAUAGCUUUUGUCUUCUGGAUCACUCAUUCUGAAUAGAUUAUUAAAUUCCAAAUCAAUAAUAACGUGCAAAAGAAGAGUAUACAUGUGCCCAAGCAUGUGUGAUUAUGUCUAUGGUAUGUGGCAUAUAAUUAAACUUAACUAACAUGCUCUCCAAAAUAUUGGCUAAUUUCUCAAAAGCUUAAUGACACUAUGUUCUCUUCCUGAGCUGUUGAUGUUACUGCCCUCCAGCAAGGCAAAAGUAUACUGAUGAGAGAUUGUCAAAACUCUCACUCUGCACUUAUUCUGCCUGGCACCAGCAGUCCGACACUUUGCAGUUCUGGUGCUUCCUGGUGUGCUGAUUUCAACAGGAAGGAUAUCAAGAUUACUUGGAUAUUAAAUUGAAAGCAAGGAAUACUGCAAAGUGGCAUGAGUUUGGAACACUUCUCAAUUAUAUAAAGAAAUUUGAAAAUUAACACUUACAUAUAUAUACUAUAUAUAUAUAUAUAUAUAUAUAUAUACACACACAAACACACAAACACACAUAUGUACAUAUAUGUAUGUAUAUAUAGUAGGAAAGAAGACAUUUACUUAUUGUUUAGGAAGCAGUGAUUUAGAGGUUACCUGAUCUCAGGUAUUCAGCAUAUACCAGAAAUUUUUAAAGCUAAAUUAUAAUUUAAAAUCUUGUAUAGCUUUAUGAUGAGCUUUUUAAAACUCUGCUUUGUAGAUAAUAAAGGAAAGUAUUUGCCCAUAUUUUUCUUUGUUCUGUUAGCCUACUUUUCCCGUAGUCAGUUCUCUGGGGAAAAGAACCAAGUCAUAUUUCAGAGGCUAUGAUUAAACAUCUCAUUUAGGGCUUUACUUUGUUCUUCUCAAAGAAUAUUAGAUAGACAUGGCCUGUGUCAUCUGUAAGCUUACAGUCUAAAAGAAAUGCAUAUAUCUAGAGUAUAUGAGCAGCAGAAUAGAAAUAUUAAUCCAAUACAUUCUAUCCUACUUAUGCAGUAAAUGGUAUCAGCUAUUUUUUUUCUGAUAAAUUUUCUUAAAGAGAAACACUCAAAAGCAGGUUUGAAAAAUUGGAUAAAAUGAAAUAAUGAUAAAGAAUUAUAGUACAUGUUAAGGUAUAUUUUUGUUGAUUAUAUAAGGAAGGAUUUGUGAUUUAUCUUUAAGAAGACAAUAUCAAUAUUAUGUUUUAACAUGAAUUUUGAUAUUGUUCAAUUUUUUUUGGAAAGAUGCUAUUCCAUCUCAAUCCCAAUUAAAUAUAAUAAUAAGGUAUCUGAUAUAAGAGCAGUCAUAGGUAAUUUUCCUUUUUAAAGGCAUCUAGGUGAAUCAGUGGCUAGAGGGCUAGACUUAGCCUCAGAAAGACCUGAGUUUGGCCUCCAACACUUAGUAGUUGAAUGAUCCUGGGUAAGUUGUUUAAUUACUCUCUGCUUGAAUUUCUUUAUCUGUAAAAUGGUUGUAAAAAUAGCACUUAUCUCACAUUGUUGUGCAUAGAUUAAAUAAGAUAACAUGUAUAAAAUGCUUUGCAGAGAGCACUAAAGAUCAUAUAAUUUUUAAACCAUCUGAAAACUUUAACUUUGUUGUUUGUAUUAAUAUAUGAUCUUUGCCAUAUGAUAAAGUAUGAGUAAUAUAAAUUUAAAAUAUUAAAUCAUUGUUAAAAUCUCAAGGAGAAGGAAGAUUAAAGAUUAUUAUCACUAUUGGUUCAUAAAAGGAAGAAAUAAGGGGAAAUAAAUUUUAAGGAAGCUUGGCAAGAGGUUGAAGUUAAUAAAGUUAUCUCAAGGUCAUUCAAGAAUGAAAUUAGAGGACAAAACAUAGGAGGAGAAUGGAAAAGAUCUACAAAGAUUUUUUAUAACAAACUUUUUUCACUAUAAAAGACAGGAGAGCUACCAUCUUACUUGUAUUAACAUUAUACUUCCAGAUAAACAUAUAAAGGAAGUAGAAAUGAAAUUAAAUGCAACAAAUUUAGGAGCAAUAAGUAGAUUAGAGCCAGCUAGGGGGACAGUAGAGAGGGUACCUGAACUUGAAUUAGGAAGACUCAUUUUUUUAAGUUCAAAUCUGGCUUUAGACACUAGCUAGGUGAUCCUGUAUGUCAUUUAACUCUGUCUCAGUUUCCUCAAUUGUAAAGUGACCUGAAGAAAGAAAUGGUAAGCCACAUCAGUAUUUUUUGCCAAGAAAACCCCAAAUGAGAUAAUGAAGAGUAGUACAACUAAACUGGAUCAAUAUAACUAGAGAAGCCAUAACGGUUCAUCCAUAAGGUCUUUGAAGUGGGUAAAAAUAUGGAAUAACACUUUGGUGUUUUUAUUAUUUUAAGCUAUUAUUGACCACUUACUCCGAUAUCUUCUCAAAUACCCUAGUGGUCAUAGAUUUAACUCUUUAACUAUAUUUCAUUUUAUUCUUUCAACAUUGAAUAUAUGUUACAUGUUUAUUCUGCAAAAGUUAAGAGUCCUUUUGCAGAACUGUAUGUUAGAGAAGGCUGUUUUCCUUGAUUGAAGCAUGCUAUUUCUCUCCUACCUUCCCUUCCUUCCUCCCUCCCCUCUUUCUCUUUCUCUUUCUGUCUGUCUCUCUCUUUUUCUAUCUGUAUGUCUCUCUCUUUUCUAAUCUACAAGAUAAUAAUGAUGAAAAUGCUUUACAUGAUUGCACACGUAUAAUCUAUAUUGAAUUGCUUUACUGUCUCAGAGAUAGGGAAGGGGAGGAGGGAGGAAGGGAUAGAAUUUGGAGUUUAAAACUUCAAUCUUAAAAAUUGUUUUAACAUGUAAUGGGGGAAAUAUGUGUAUAUGUAUAUAUGCAUGUAUUUAAAAAGAACAACUAAAAACUUUUUCAGCCAUUUGCAGACUUUUUUGUGGUUAAAUAACUGCUAGAAUUGAGGGCAAUGGUAUGCAUUCUGUCUAAAUCUUCCUAAAAUAAUGAAGAUGGUGAAGGGUCUUGAAUCCAUGUCAGAAGAAGAUGGAAGAAGAAAGGAGGAAUGUGUAAUUUGCAGAAGAAUAGGUUUAUAGGGAAUCUAAUUGUUGUCUUCAAAUAUUUAAGGUUGUCAUGUGGAAGAAAGAUUGGGUUUAUUUACCCCAGGGGGCAGAAUCAAAAGCAAUGAUUAGAAUUGUAAAGAAGAAAAUUUAAGUUCAACAUCAGGAACAAUGGAAUGGAAAUUAAAGGUACAUAAAAGAGGAAUGCUCAUUCCUUUCACUGCCAUGAGAUUGUGGGUUUCUUUUCACUGGAGAUUUUCAAGAAAAAAACUUCUCCUUAUCAGGAAUAUUAUCCUAGGGAUUCCUUUUGUGUAUGGGUUGAACUAGAUAAUUGUUGAGGUCUUUUAUAAUUUUUAAAUUGUGUGAUUCUGUGUAAAAUCUCUUCUAGUUCUAAAAAGCUACAAUAGUAAGGAAAAUGCUGUACCAUUCCAGAAUGGCUACAGUAUUUGACAGUGGUUAGAAAAACAAGUUCUCACUACUCAGAAAUAUAGGAAAAGAAGGAAGGAAGUCUGCAAUUUAACCUCUGGGAAACUUGUACUGAUGAAAUAAUUAAGGGGUGUUGGACCAUUUUUUUUAUAGUCUGGCAAAGUAAAAUUUUGCUUAUGUUUACCAUAGUUCCCAGCGUUGUUUAUGGUUUUUUAAAACCAUCUUUUUGUUGAUAAUCAUGUAUUAUUUGUAUGUUUCCUGAAAUAUUUAGCAAUUCAUAGCAACAUGAUAAAAGGUAGAUAAAAGAGAGACAGAUGUGGUAGUUACAAAAUUUUAGAUUUAUAAUGUAAUCUAAACAUGAAAAAUCUGGUCCCAGAUAAACUCAGAUACUGGCAUUACUAAAGUGCAAAGGGUGAAGGAGAUGAAAAGGAAGGACCUUAGGGAAGCCAUUGGCUCUACAGAAGUAGGGGGACAGAGCCAGAAGAAUAAUCCUACUGAAUGAAACUGGCUUAUUUGGCUAGUGCUCUGAGAAGUGGCUGAGAAUGAAAUCGAUUGGAUUUAGGCUACGAUUUCAAAGUAUGAAGUCCAAAUCCUCACAUUGCAAUAGGAAAACAACUGCUUUUCCUCUUAAAGAGUCCAGAGAUAGUAAGGAAAGGGGCAGAUGGGAAAGCUCUGGUCUAAAAGUAAAUUGUGCCCCAGAAAUAGAAGCAAACUUCUAAGAGAGAUUCUGCUUGGUUUUCUGAUUGGUCAGAGUUAAGACAGUUGAACAAACCUCGCAUACUCCUUGUCUUUAAAAAGCUUUUGGUAAGAAUCUGCAAAAAGGAAAUAUCUUUGGACUGGGUAUCAGGAGACUUCAUUUCUAGCUGCUGCAGAUUUGACCACUGACUUUCUUUGGGUCCUUUAUUGAAUCAUUUAAUUUCUCUGGGACUGAGUAUCUUCACAAGAAUUUCUAACAAAAAACUCUCUUAGGUCUCAUCCAAUGCUACUUCUUUUCCUACAAACCUAAAUUAAAGUGAUUAAUAUUCUUUUGCUGACAUUUAGAUGGGUUAUAAUGAUUUUAAAGUACUCUCUACAGUUUUGUAAAAAUCCUACAGGGGGAGUCCAAAGACCCAAGUUCUAUCCUAUAAUUGUCACUAACUACUUCAGCUCCAGUCAGGAAGUGAUUUAAAAUUUCUAUGUUCCAGCUUCUCCAAAUACAACAUACAUUAUGAUGGUUACCCUACUUAUAAACCAGGAUUUAAAAAAAGUAAAAUAUAUAGUAAAACAAUUGAAAAAGCACUAAGCAUCUCCCCAAUAUUAGGUGCUAUCAUGUAAUUGUUGUAGAAUGCAUAAAUUAAUUUAUUUCUUCAUGUUUGAAUGAGAUUUUGAAAAAUAUGCAAAUUAGAAAUAACGAGUAAUUCUUGAGGGCAGCUAGGUGAUACAAUGUACAGAGUGGCAGACCUGGAGUCAGGAAGAUUCAUCUUCCUAAGUUUAAAUCUGGCCUCAGACACUUACUAUCUGUGUGACCCUAGGCAAGUCACUUACCUCAGUUUAUCUCAGUUUCCUCAUCUGUAAAAUGAACUGGAGAAGGAAAAGGCAAAUUGUUCCAAUAUCUUUGCUAAGAAAACCCCAAAUAGGAUCACAAAGAGUCAGACAUGAUUAAAAAAAAAUCUGAACAACAAAGAUGAUUCUUUAAAAUUCAUAUAUAUAAUUCAUUUGUGUCCCCAAAUGUUCUGAAACUUAAAAGGUCUAUGAUUUCAUCAGUAGGAAAAAUUCCUUUACCUAAUACAGUUUGUGAUCUCUUCAGGACUUAGAUUGUCACAGAAUUUUGUUUGAUACCCAUAGAGGCAACCUGUUCUGGAUCAUAUCAUUAAUCAGGGUCUAAGACAGAAUGUCAACCCAAGACUUCCUAACUAAGCACAAUUCUCUAUACAUGUGCAGCACUCUCCAUUUUCUUCUAUAUCUUGAGACUUAUUAAAAUACUCAAAUAGAUAUUAGCUAUUUUGUUGAUUCAAAAGUUUCUUCUAAUUUGUACCUAUCCCUCUUUGUUCUCUAGUCAUUUUUCAGAUCUGUCCGACUCUUUGUGAUCCCAUUUGGGGUUUUCUUGGCAAAGAUACUGCAGGGAUUUGCCAUUUCCUUCUCCAGUUCACUUAACAGAUGAGAAACUGAGGCAAACAAAGUUAAGUGACUUGCUUGGGAUCACUUAGCUAGUAAGUAUCUGAGUCCAGAUUUGAACUCAUGAAGAUUGACUCUGUCCACUGAACCACCUACCUACCCUUCCUGUGGGCCUCUUCUUUCUAUUCAUGUCUACAAUAUUUCUAUGAGGCUUCUGGGAGUAUGUGAGGGAUGGGUGUGGGUGAAUACUGGUAGAUCCUGAGGCUUAAUAGGAAAAAUAAUUCUGUCCAAAACAAUUCCCACUAGCUUUAUAAACAAAUAUAACUUAGUGGUGACUAUUUAGGCAUUAUUCACACUUUAAAAAAAAUCCCUUCUGGCUCUAUAAAUAGCUGAAAAUCUAUCCUUGGGGUCCAUUUCAUUUUCAGCAUCUUCGAACCUCUGACUCCUAUAAAAUGGAAAAAAAGAUCCUAACAUUUCUUAACCUAAAAUUCAAUCUGAUAGUGAGCUGCUACUGAUAUCAACACAAAUCUCUGAGGGGAGGAAAAAAAAAGGUUGAGCAGUUCUGAUUUCUCAACACUCUCUAUACUUCUUUAUGAGAUUUUCAUGGUUGACCUGAUAGCCUCUGGACUCCAAGUGAUCAGCAAACUCCCUUUGGAAGAGACAAUUCCAUCAGCCCCUAACACAGCAAAAUGGCCCACUUUCAGAUGCUUUCCUUUCACUGUCAGCUUUAGCUUUUCCUGUACUCCCCACAUUCUUCAUUGGUAGAAAAAGAAGCUCUUGACUAUUUCUAUUGCCUCCCUCCAUUCUCUCCUUUUCAUUUUCAGCAAGAAUAAAACCUAAGAAGAUAGGCUUACUAAUGACCCAGAUCCACACUUCAGUCAACUCUGAACCUCAGCUCUUUUUCUUCUCAAUUCUGGCCUGAUCCUCCUAGAAAAAAUUUGGAAUCACACUUGAAAGGAGGCUUACCUUCAGCUCUUCACUUGAGGGCAAUAAUGACCACUUGCAGUUAUUACUUUUUCUUCCAUCAGUCCCCCAAAAACCACAAAUUCUUUCAUAAAAAUGUUAAAGGGAUGCACAUUUGUGUAUGUAUGCACACAUGUGCAUAUAUGUGUAUACAUGUACAUACACAUGUACAAAAACUUAUAUACACAAUUUAUAUAUGUUUUGUCCUCAACUCCUAUCCACUAUUCCUUCCUCUCAGACUAAGACACUCCACCUAAAUCUUAUUUAAACUGUAUUUUUAUUUUGCCAGUUAUACUCUGACCUCUGAUGAUGUCCUACCUAGCUUCUUCUCUGACUCAUUUAGCUUAUCUGCUUCAGUCAGGGCCAAUUCAUUCUAACCCCUCCUUCCAUUCCCAGCUCGAUUCACCAAAGGUUUUCAUUUAAAAAAUCAUCCUGUGCAUUUCCAUUUUCCAUCACUUUUUAUUUGAAGAUGCAUCCAUUCAGCAGCUCUAGGGAAUUCAUUAGAAACAUGCAGUUUGUGCUAGAGCUCGACACACUUGGUUACUUGGGGGAAAUGGCUAAGAUAAACUCCCCGUCAGAAAUAUUUUAAAAUUAUUUCAUCAUCAUCUUCUGCUCUGGGAAACCUGGUAAUAAAACAUCAAGUCAAGUCAAUAAGCAUUUAUUAAAUGCCCACUACAUAUUGGGUACUGUGCUAAACUUUGGAGAAAUGUAGAAAGAUGUAAGGAAGAAUGUAUAUUUAUUUACAGCCCAAAUCUGUGAUUUUAGGGUGUGGGGAACUUCUGGUAUGAAAACUCCUUCUACUGAUGUAGAUUGAAAACUGUCUUAUCCCAACUAAUCUGGAGAGCAAUUUGGAACUGUGCCCAAAGGUUUAUCAAACAUGUGUAUCCUUUAAUGCAGCAGUAUCACUACUGGGCUUGUAUCCCAAAGAAAUCACAAAAAAAGGAAAAAGACCCACAUGUACAAAAUAUUUGUGGCAGACCUUUUUAUAGUGGCAAGGAACUGGAAACUGAGUGGAUGCCCAUCAAUUGGAGAAUUGCUGAAUAAACUAUGGUAUAUGAAUGUUAUGGAAUAUUAUUGUUCUGUAAGAAAUAAUCAGGAGGAUGAUUUUAAGGAGGCCUGGAGAGACUUACAUGAACUGAUGCCAAGUGAAAUGAUCAGAGUCAGGAGAUCAUUGUACUUUUCUCAGCAAUAUGAUGAUCCAAGACAAUUUCUUUUCUUUUUUUGAUGAAAGCUUUUUAUUUUUCAAAACAUAUGCAUGGAUAAUUUUUCAACAUUAACCCUUGCAAAACCUUGUGUUCCAAGUUCCCCCCUUUUCCCUUAUCCUUUACCCUAGAUGGCAAAUAGUCCAACACAUGUUUUUCUUUGUUUUUUAGUUCAAUAUAUGUUAAACAUGGUAGAAAUAUAUGUUAAAUCAAAUAUAUGCAUACAUAUUACGCAAUUAUCUUGCUGCACAAAAACAAUCAAAUCAAACUGAAAAAAUGAGAAAGAAAACAAAAUGCAAGCAAACGACAAUAAAAAGAGUGAAAAUGCUAUGUUGUGAACCACACUCAGCUCCCAUAGUCCUCUCUCUGGAUGUAGAUGACUCUCUUCAUCACUGAACAACUGGAACUGGUUUGAACCAUCUCAUUGUUGAAGAGAGCCACAUUCAUCAGAAUUUGUUUUAAUUUACAUUUCUCUGAUCAUUAGUGAUUUAGAACAACUUUUCAUACUUCUAGAAAUGUUUUCAAUUUCUUCAUCUGAAAAUUGUCUGUUCAUAUCCUUUGACUAUUUAUCAAUUGGAGAAUGGCUUGAUUGAUCACCAAGACAAUUUCAAUAGACUUGGGUUGGAAAAUUCCAUCAGAAUCCAGAGUAUUAUGGAGACUGAAUGUGGAUUGAAGUAUGCUAUUUUCACUUUUUUGUUUGCUUUUUCUUUCUCAUGCUUUUUCCCUUUUGGUCUGAUUUUGCACAAUAUGACAAAUAUAGAAAUAUGUUUAAAAGGAUUGUAUGUGUACAAUCCAUAUCAGAUUGCUUGUUGUCUUGGGGAGUGGGGAGGUAAGGGAGGGAGCAAGAAAUUUGGAACACAAAAUCUUAACAAAAUGAAUGUUGAAAAUUAUCUUUACAUGAUUUGAAAAACUAAAAUACUAUUGAGAAAAAAAGAAAAUUAAAAAUACACCUAUCAUUUGGAGCAACUAGGUGGCACAGUGGAUAGAGAACAUGGAUCUUGAAAUCAAGAGGAUUUGAGUUAUUGAUCUUAGAUACUUAUCAGCUGUGUGACCUUGGAGAAUUCACUUAACCCUAACACCUAGCAUUUAAAAAUGCCUUUACUAGCAUUUUAGGACUUAACAGUAUGAAAUAAAGCUUAUAAAAAAAAAGAAAAAAAAAAAGAAAACUGCCUAUAAUCUGGAUUAUUAGAACAUUUCCUGGGACACUGAGAGGUUAAGUGGUACACAGAUAAUGUGUGUCAGAAGUGGGAUCUAAAACCAGGUCUUUUUGACUCCAAAGCCAUCUCUAUAUCAGCAUGCUUUGCUGCCCUUUGCUAUAUUUAUUAGGAAUCAUUUUCUGGCCCCCCAAGAGUGGUACUGUCCCCAAUUGUACUUCCUUUUCUUUUAUCCUAAUUCUAGGGUUUUCUAUGCAGGUCAGGUAGG